This 646-nucleotide long non-coding RNA is filed under the name Equus caballus (horse). RNAcentral describes it as "lncRNA (ENSECAG00000051722.1)". The record is from RNAcentral. Lineage: Eukaryota; Metazoa; Chordata; Mammalia; Perissodactyla; Equidae.
GAGACAAUUAAGUACUUUAGAGUGCAUUAGCUCUGCCAGACUAAUAGAGUGAUUUUGAAGCUUGGCUAGUAGCUUGUAGCUCAGCUUAGCAGGCUGAGGGGUCUGGAGACUGAAGGGACUAAGAAAGCAGUUUAGAAGUCUACAGCAGACCUGAGAGUUGCAGACCAUAACCUGGCAGGUUCUGCUAAAUCUGGCAGGUGUGUUCUCAGGUGGACCAGGGAAGUUUGUUCAGUUGCUCUGAAAUUGAAAACGCAGGUUGUGUAAUAUUUCCAAAACCCCAGUAAGAGGAUGUCAGAGGGAGGACCACGAGCUGCGGAUUGUCUGUGCCUGACCUAGGAGCCCCGGCCCGCACAGGUAAGGAGAGUAAGCUUUCAUUGGAUCCCAAGUAGUCUUCCUUGGGUGAUAACUUUGUCUUUCUAUCAUGUAACCAGUAGCUGCCAAAUUGUGUGUGUGCGUGUUUAGGGAGAAGAACCAAGGCAUGUCUCUGAUGUUGUCACAGCCCAGUGUCACCCAAAAGUCACUGUGCUCCCAUCAUCCCCAGUUCCCAGUUGAGUGGGUCCCAGCUACAUUUCCCAUGGACAUCCGUCGGGCCCAUGUGAAGAGCUAUUUCAGAGACAGAGUGUUCUAAAUCAGGUUUGUGUUUUGG